UACAGAGGGGGCCAGCGUUAUUCGGAAUUAUUGGGCGUAAAGGGCGCGUAGGCGGCUUUGCGUGUCUUUCGUGAAAUCCCUCGGCUCAACUGAGGACGUGCGGAAGAAACUGCAGGGCUGGAGUCCGGGAGAGGAGGGUGGAAUUCCCAGUGUAGCGGUGAAAUGCGUAGAUAUUGGGAGGAACACCGGUGGCGAAGGCGGCCCUCUGGACCGGUACUGACGCUGAUGCGCGAAAGCGUGGGGAGCAAACGGG
RNAcentral lists this ribosomal RNA (253 nucleotides) under uncultured bacterium. RNAcentral's name for it is "partial 16S ribosomal RNA". It matches the Rfam family "Bacterial small subunit ribosomal RNA", at positions 524 to 776 of the family's 1533-position model. The record is from RNAcentral.